UACGUAGGCGGAAAAUUAAGUCAGUAGUGAAAUCCUGCAGCUUAACUGUAGAACUGUUAUUGAUACUGGUUUUCUUGAAUAUAGUUGAGGUAAGCGGAAUGUGUAAUGUAACGGUGAAAUGCUUAGAUAUUACACAGAACACCGAUUGCGAAGGCAGCUUACUAAGCUAUGAUUGACGCUGAGGUACGAAAGCGUGGGGAGCGAACAGGAUUAGAUACCCUGGUAGUCC
Molecule: ribosomal RNA, 229 nt
Filed under: uncultured bacterium
Lineage: Bacteria
Description: partial 16S ribosomal RNA
Rfam family: Bacterial small subunit ribosomal RNA
Source: RNAcentral